GAUCCUGGCUCAGGAUGAACGCUGGCGGCGUGCUUAACACAUGCAAGUCGAACGAAGCGCUUAAAUUUGAUUCUUCGGAUGAAGAUUUUUGUGACUGAGUGGCGGACGGGUGAGUAACGCGUGGGUAACCUGCCUCAUACAGGGGGAUAACAGUUAGAAAUGACUGCUAAUACCGCAUAAGCGCACAGGACCGCAUGGUCUGGUGUGAAAAACUCCGGUGGUAUGAGAUGGACCCGCG
Molecule: ribosomal RNA, 238 nt
Filed under: uncultured bacterium
Lineage: Bacteria
Description: partial 16S ribosomal RNA
Rfam family: Bacterial small subunit ribosomal RNA
Source: RNAcentral